Molecule: transfer RNA, 85 nt
Filed under: Felis catus (domestic cat)
Lineage: Eukaryota; Metazoa; Chordata; Mammalia; Carnivora; Felidae
Rfam family: tRNA
About the family: Transfer RNA (tRNA) molecules are approximately 80 nucleotides in length. Their secondary structure includes four short double-helical elements and three loops (D, anti-codon, and T loops).
Source: Rfam by way of RNAcentral
GCCUGGGUGGCUCAGUCGGUUAAGCCUCUGACUUCAGCUCAGGUCAUGAUCUCACAGUUUGUGGGUUUGAGUCCCACAUUGGGCU